This 738-nucleotide long non-coding RNA is filed under the name Oreochromis niloticus (Nile tilapia). Its description in RNAcentral is "lncRNA (ENSONIG00000038487.1)". Lineage: Eukaryota; Metazoa; Chordata; Actinopteri; Cichliformes; Cichlidae. The record is from RNAcentral.
AUGUCACAUGAAAUGCCCUCAGAAUCAGAGUUAGAUGAUUUCAGCCAUGACAUUCAGAGUCCUGAGCCUGAACUCCUUUAUUAUAGAGGCCCUGAGGACCAAGAAAGCAUAUUACAUGAAGAUGGAGGAGACACUGAGGAAGUGGCAGUGACGUCAUGGGGCAUGGGAGCAGCUCAGGACUGGCCACAGGCCAACUGCCCGGCUACACCGGUAACAGUGGCCUAUACUCCCUCAGUGCCCACAGUGGCUCCAAGCCAGAAUUUCAGUUAUCAUAACACAGAUAGUGCUGAAGUCAGAAGUGCCUCACAACAUUGUCCUCCAAAUAAUCUGCCAGCAAUAGCAGAGGGGGCCAAAGCAUCCUCUGGAGCAGGGAUGAUGCACGGUCAGAUGAUUGAGACGAACUUCAGUCAGCCGGGACAAGUCGAGCAGAUUGUCCCUCAGGGAUUAAAAGCUUCUGAGGACACAACUGAGCCUCCUAAACAGCAAAACACAAAGAAAGGAUGGUUCAGUGGCUGGUUCAAGUCAAAACCUAAAGUGGUCCAAAAGGAGGCUGCAGAGCAGGGAGGCCCAGCUCACACAGAAUUUUCACCAUCUGCUGACGUCUGUCCUCCUCCCCCGCCUGCCAGUGUCCCUCCUGGCAUGUUUCCACCACAGUCUUCCACUGCUGGGAUUAAUCCAUUCUCAAGGAAAGCAGGCCAGCAGCUGGGUUAGAAACCGUGAGACUCACCUCUGUCACAG